RNAcentral lists this ribosomal RNA (253 nucleotides) under uncultured bacterium. Its description in RNAcentral is "partial 16S ribosomal RNA". It matches the Rfam family "Bacterial small subunit ribosomal RNA", at positions 524 to 776 of the family's 1533-position model. The record is from RNAcentral.
UACGAAGGGUGCAAGCGUUACUCGGAAUUACUGGGCGUAAAGCGCGUGCAGGCGGCCUUGCAAGUCGGACGUGAAAUCCCACGGCUCAACCGUGGAAGUGCAUUCGAAACUGCGAGGCUGGAGUCCUGGAGAGGAAAGUGGAAUACUCGGUGUAGAGGUGAAAUUCGUAGAUAUCGGAAGGAACAUCAGUGGCGAAAGCGACUUCCUGGACCAAUACUGACGCUCAUGUGCGAAAGCGUGGGGAGCAAACAGG